UUUUACAUUGUCAGUGUAUAUAAACUUUGUUGUUACACUAUCAGAUCAUCACCCAGAUAAUAACUACAUGUAACCAUUCAUAGAAAAUGAGAUUAACAACAUGAAAAAUACGACAAACAUUGCUAAUACAACAUGUUAAAAUAUACUACUAUAAUAUAUCAAUUGUAUAUAAGUUAAAGGGUUAACUACACUAAACACCCUUGUACUAUGAUUCAGUUACAAAUAGACCUCCUAUAUUUUGAAAUUAAAAACUUACAUCCGUUGUACUAUGAAAAACCCAUGCUUACACCCCACAUAGAGGACAAAAAAAAACAAUAAAGUGAUGAUAAAAUCAAUAACUUACCUUUGUAAACUCCUUCAUAGAUCUCAGGAAUUUCAGCAAGAUACUUAACAAUGAAUGUACAAGCAGAGCUAGCAGUGUCAUGACCACCAAUCAACAAACCUAAAAUCUUAUCAGCAAUAUCCAAUUCAUUCAUAAAUUUCCCAUUUUCAUCACUUGUCAAUAACAUA
Long non-coding RNA from Lycium ferocissimum, 510 nucleotides. RefSeq lists it as uncharacterized. The transcript has 2 exons. The record is from RefSeq and is a predicted model, not a curated record. NCBI's taxonomy places the organism in Eukaryota, Viridiplantae, Streptophyta, Magnoliopsida, Solanales, Solanaceae.